GACGAACGCUGGCGGCGUGCUUAACACAUGCAAGUCGAACGGAAAGGCCCUGCUUUUGUGGGGUGCUCGAGUGGCGAACGGGUGAGUAACACGUGAGUAACCUGCCCUUGACUUUGGGAUAACUUCAGGAAACUGGGGCUAAUACCGGAUAGGAGCUCCUGCUGCAUGGUGGUGGUUGGAAAGUUUCGGCGGUUGGGGAUGGACUCGCGGCUUAUCAGCUUGUUGGUGUGGUAGUGGCUUACCAAGGCUUUGACGGGUAGCCGGCCUGAGAGGGUGACCGGCCACAUUGGGACUGAGAUACGGCCCAGACUCCUACGGGAGGCAGAAGUGGGGAAUAUUGCACAAUGGGCGGAAGCCUGAUGCAGCAACGCCGCGUGCGGGAUGACGGCCUUCGGGUUGUAAACCGCUUUCGCCUGUGACGAAGCGUGAGUGGCGGUAAUGGGUAAAGAAGCACCGGCUAACUACGUG
RNAcentral lists this ribosomal RNA (468 nucleotides) under uncultured bacterium. Its description in RNAcentral is "partial 16S ribosomal RNA". It matches the Rfam family "Bacterial small subunit ribosomal RNA", at positions 28 to 507 of the family's 1533-position model. The record is from RNAcentral.